Molecule: non-coding RNA, 76 nt
Filed under: unclassified sequences
Description: RAGATH-18 RNA
Rfam family: RAGATH-18 RNA
About the family: Actinobacteria, Firmicutes, Fusobacteria, Thermotogae (1 example).
Source: Rfam by way of RNAcentral
CCUAUGGAGUGUCAUAUCAAACGAAAGUAGUUAAUAAGAUUUUCUUAUAACCAAAUCGGACACGAUGAAGUAGGAA